AUCUGCCGGUCAUCGUCGAGUGAUAGUCCGCACCAGUGACAGCGAUGUUGUAGUGCUGGGCGUCUCUUCCUUUGUUGCACUCGGACAGAGGAUUGAUGAACUCUGGAUUGCCUUUGGAAUGAAAGGCCACUUCAGAGAUUCGUCUUGCUGCUAUAUGAUGUAACUAAGGAGAACAUCACAACUGAUGAUGCUGCUCGGCAUUCCCGCUUCCUCCACCAAGGAAGAGACCUCGAGCACAUGCCUCCAAGCAGCGAUUCUCUGCAUCAGCACCUUCUCAGAGUUGCCUAUCAGAGUGGACACGUGUGGGGUAAUACGCUCGUGAAAGCACCAGCUCCAGUAUCUCCAACAGAAUGGCGAUGGCAGCAAGAAUUACCAGACUAUGCGCCAACUCCAGUCUACACAACAACUCCCACUAUUUCGCGGGACUUGUCAGAGCUUGCCAUUUGCUAGUGUAAGACUGGAUGUAAAGCUCCUUGUAAGUGCUGCGUGCAGAGACAGUGGUGUAUGCUUCUCUGCAGAUGUCAAGGUUCGUGCCCCACACUGGCAGGAUGUACCAGGACAAGAGAGGAGAAGAGGAAUCAGCCUAGCCCUAAUCGAAGAACUUGUGUAAUUACAACAUUGUGCGAUGAAUAAUCUAAUUACCUCAAAUUUCUGCAUGUGAAAACCAAUAAAAUUUGUUAUAAUUUGUAUUAUUUUUUGGAUUUCACCUUUAAAUGCAUCUGAAAUGCGGCGGCCAUCUUGGAUUUUGAGAUAUGACAUGUGUCUUUGGAUAAA
Molecule: long non-coding RNA, 774 nt
Organism: Priapulus caudatus
Lineage: Eukaryota; Metazoa; Priapulida; Priapulimorpha; Priapulimorphida; Priapulidae
Exons: 3
Source: RefSeq, a predicted model, not a curated record